AUUGAACGCUGGCGGCAUGCCUUACACAUGCAAGUCGAACGGCAGCACGGGAGCAAUCCUGGUGGCGAGUGGCGAACGGGUGAGUAAUAUAUCGGAACGUGCCCAGUCGUGGGGGAUAACGCAGCGAAAGCUGUGCUAAUACCGCAUACGAUCUAAGGAUGAAAGCGGGGGAUCGCAAGACCUCGCGCGAUUGGAGCGGCUGAUAUCAGAUGAGCUAGUUGGUGGGGUAAAGGCCCACCAAGGCGACGAUCUGUAGCUGGUCUGAGGGGACGACCAGCCACACUGGAACUGAGACACGGUCCAGACUCCUACGGGAGGCAGCAGUGGGGAAUUUUGGACAAUGGGCGCAAGCCUGAUCCAGCAAUGCCGCGUGCAGGAUGGAGGCCUUCGGGUUGUAAACUGCUUUUGUACGGAACGAAACGGCCCUUUCUAAUACAGGGGGCUAAUGACGGUACCGUAAGAAUAAGCACCGGCUAACUACGUGCCAGCCGCCGCGGUAA
RNAcentral lists this ribosomal RNA (500 nucleotides) under uncultured bacterium. RNAcentral describes it as "partial 16S ribosomal RNA". It matches the Rfam family "Bacterial small subunit ribosomal RNA", at positions 30 to 523 of the family's 1533-position model. The record is from RNAcentral.